AAAAAGGCCAUUUUUGGGACACCAGGGUGUGGAAAUAAAACCCACCCACCCCAUUUUGGGGGAGACGGAGGACGUAGCGGUGAAUCCCCCAGGGCUGGGGGGGGUGGGGGGGUCCCGGGCGGGCGAGGGCCCCCAGGGUGCCAGCGGGUGCUGCCUCCCGCCCUCGCCGCCGGUGACGGCCCGUUUUUGGGGUGAAAGGCGGGGAUUUUGGCGCAGGUGCGGGCGGCUGCUGCUGCCCCCGGGGCUGGCUGGGCUUCGGGGGCCGCUGUUACCUCUUCUCGGAGGAGGAGGGCAACUGGAGCCGGGGUCUGGGGAGCUGCCGCGCUCUGGGGGGGUCCCUCACCUCCCUCGACACCCCAGAAGAGAAGGGGCUGCUGGCGCGUCACAAGGGUCUCCCCCACCAUUGGGUCGGGCUCCGGAGGGACCUGCAGCAAGGGUGGCACUGGGCCAACGGCUCCCGCUCCCAGCCCUGGUUCGCGGUGCGCGGCGCGGCCGACUGCGCCUACCUCGGGGACGGCGACGUGCAGACGGCCAGCUGCGCCUCCGAGAAGCACUGGAUCUGCGCCCGCCCGCCCGCCUGAGCACCCGUGGGUGCCCCCCACCCCCACCCAUGGGUGCCCCUCACACACACACCCCCUCCCCCAAAUAAAGGCGUUAGAGCAGGAGGGCGUCGCGG
Molecule: non-coding RNA, 676 nt
Organism: Phalacrocorax carbo (great cormorant)
Lineage: Eukaryota; Metazoa; Chordata; Aves; Suliformes; Phalacrocoracidae
Source: RefSeq, a predicted model, not a curated record